UUGCUUGCUUCAGCAGCAAAUAUACUAAAAUUGGAACAAUAUAAAGAAGAUCAGCAUGAUCCCUGCACAAAGAUGAAUGCAAAUUCAUGAACCAUUCCAUAUUUUG
Molecule: small nuclear RNA, 106 nt
Organism: Capra hircus (goat)
Lineage: Eukaryota; Metazoa; Chordata; Mammalia; Artiodactyla; Bovidae
Source: Ensembl